Molecule: ribosomal RNA, 397 nt
Filed under: uncultured bacterium
Lineage: Bacteria
Description: partial 16S ribosomal RNA
Rfam family: Bacterial small subunit ribosomal RNA
Source: RNAcentral
AUACGUAGGUGACAAGCGUUAUCCGGAUUUACUGGGCGUAAAGGGCGUGUAGGCGGUCUUGCAAGUCAGAAGUGAAAUUCCUGAGCUCAACUCGGGCGCUGCUUCUGAAACUGCAGGACUUGAGUGCUGGAGGGGAUAGCGGAAUUCCUAGUGGAGCGGUAAAAUGCGCAGAUAUUAGGAAGAACACCGGUGGCGAAGGCGGCUAUCUGGACAGUAACUGACGCUGAGGCGCGAAAGCGUGGGGAGCAAACAGGAUUAGAUACCCUGGUAGUCCACACUGUAAACGAUGAAUGCUAGGUGUAGGGGGUAUCGACCCCUUCUGUGCCGCAGUCAACACAAUAAGCAUUCCGCCUGGGGAGUACGGCCGCAAGGUUGAAACUCAAAUGAAUUGGCGGGG